GGGGAAUUGUUCGCAAUGGGCGCAAGCCUGACGACGCAACGCCGCGUGGAGGAUGAAGAUCUUCGGGUCGUAAACUCCUUUCGAUCGAGACGAACAGCCUUCGGGUAAACAAUCCGGAGGUUUGACGGUACCGAGAGAAGAAGCCCCGGCUAACUCUGUGCCAGCAGCCGCGGUAAUACAGAGGGUGCGAGCGUUGUCCGGAAUCACUGGGCGUAAAGGGCGCGUAGGUGGUGGCUUAAGCGUGCGGUGAAAGCUCGGGGCUCAACUCCGAGUCGGCCGUGCGAACUGGGCUCACUGGAGCAUAGUAGAGGCAGGUGGAAUUCCGGGUGUAGCGGUGGAAUGCGUAGAGAUCCGGAAGAACACCGGUGGCGAAGGCGGCCUGCUGGGCUAUGGCUGACACUGAGGCGCGACAGCGUGGGGAGCAAAC
Molecule: ribosomal RNA, 427 nt
Filed under: uncultured bacterium
Lineage: Bacteria
Description: bacterial SSU rRNA
Rfam family: Bacterial small subunit ribosomal RNA
Source: RNAcentral